Molecule: ribosomal RNA, 421 nt
Filed under: uncultured bacterium
Lineage: Bacteria
Description: bacterial SSU rRNA
Rfam family: Bacterial small subunit ribosomal RNA
Source: RNAcentral
GGAAUCUUGGACAAUGGGCGAAAGCCUGAUCCAGCGACGCCGCGUGACCGAUGAAGGCCUUCGGGUCGUAAAGGUCUUUCAGCGGGGACAAUAAUGAUGGUACCCGCAGAAGCAGGAGCGGCUAACUACGUGCCAGCAGCCGCGGUAAUACGUAGGCUCCAAGCGUUGUUCGGAAUUACUGGGCGUAAAGCGAGUGUAGGCGGUCUGCCAAGUCGAUUGUGAAAUCUCCCGGCUCAACUGGGAGGGUGCGGUCGAAACUGACAGACUCGAGUUCGGGAGAGGAGAGUGGAAUUCCUGGUGUAGCGGUGAAAUGCGUAGAUAUCAGGAGGAACAUCGGUGGUGAAGACGGCUCUCUGGACCGAUACUGACGCUGAGACUCGAAAGCGUGGGGAGCAAACAGGAUUAGAAACCCGGGUAGUCC